GAGUACGUGAAACCGUUUAGGGGUAAACCUGAGAAACCCGAAAGGUCGAAGGGAGAAAUUCAUUCGCGUCUCGUCAUCGGCGAUCGAUUGUCGUGCGACGGAGGCGUACAGUUAUCGUUUUCGCUCCUUCGGUCGAUCGAACCGGAGACGAACGCGUGCACUUUUCUCCUGGUAGGACGUCGCGAUCCGUCGGGUGUCGGUCUACGGCUCGCGGAGGAGCCCGUUCGUCGUCCUUCACGGGACGUGUACGAGCGGACCCGCGUGUUUCCCGGCCGACCCGCUCGACGGUAUACGAAAGGUUCGGAGCCGCUCUUUCGAAGCGUUCGGCUCGCGGCAAGCGCGUCAGAUGUCGUCGGCGAUCGGACCUAGUGCCGAUUCCGACCACUGACGACUGUUGGCCGCGAAGUUCUCGAACAGACUCCGUUUCUCUCGCAAGAGAGAAGUAAUAACCGAUCUGCACGC
Molecule: ribosomal RNA, 462 nt
Filed under: Cnemonyx vestitus
Lineage: Eukaryota; Metazoa; Arthropoda; Insecta; Coleoptera; Curculionidae
Description: partial 28S ribosomal RNA
Source: RNAcentral